GUGGGGAAUAUUGCACAAUGGGCGCAAGCCUGAUGCAGCAACGCCGCGUGAGGGACGACGGCCUUCGGGUUGUAAACCUCUUUUAGUAGGGAAGAAGCGAAAGUGACGGUACCUGCAGAAAAAGCACCGGCUAACUACGUGCCAGCAGCAGCGGUAAUACGUAGGGUGCAAGCGUUAUCCGGAAUUAUUGGGCGUAAAGAGCUCGUAGGCGGUUUGUCGCGUCUGCUGUGAAAACUGGAGGCUCAACCUCCAGCCUGCAGUGGGUACGGGCAGACUAGAGUGCGGUAGGGGAGAUUGGAAUUCCUGGUGUAGCGGUGGAAUGCGCAGAUAUCAGGAGGAACACCAAUGGCGAAGGCAGAUCUCUGGGCCGUAACUGACGCUGAGGAGCGAAAGCAUGGGGAGCGA
Molecule: ribosomal RNA, 405 nt
Filed under: uncultured Salinibacterium sp.
Lineage: Bacteria; Bacillati; Actinomycetota; Actinomycetes; Micrococcales; Microbacteriaceae
Description: bacterial SSU rRNA
Rfam family: Bacterial small subunit ribosomal RNA
Source: RNAcentral